GACGAACGCUGGCGGCGUGCCUAAUACAUGCAAGUAGAACGCUGAAGGAGGAGCUUGCUUCUCCGGAUGAGUUGCGAACGGGUGAGUAACGCGUAGGUAACCUGCCUGGUAGCGGGGGAUAACUAUUGGAAACGAUAGCUAAUACCGCAUAAGAGUAGAUGUCGCAUGACAUUUGCUUAAAAGGUGCAACUGCACCACUACCAGAUGGACCUGCGUUGUAUUAGCUAGUUGGUGAGGUAACGGCUCACCAAGGCAACGAUACAUAGCCGACCUGAGAGGGUGAUCGGCCACACUGGGACUGAGACACGGCCCAGGCUCCUACGGGAGGCAGCAGUAGGGAAUCUUCGGCAAUGGACGGAAGUCUGACCGAGCAACGCCGCGUGAGUGAAGAAGGUUUUCGGAUCGUAAAGCUCUGUUGUAAGAGAAGAACGAGUGUGAGAGUGGAAAGUUCACACUGUGACGGUAUCUUACCAGAAAGGGACGGCUAACUACGUG
Molecule: ribosomal RNA, 495 nt
Filed under: uncultured bacterium
Lineage: Bacteria
Description: partial 16S ribosomal RNA
Rfam family: Bacterial small subunit ribosomal RNA
Source: RNAcentral